This is a long non-coding RNA of Budorcas taxicolor (takin), 354 nucleotides long. RefSeq lists it as uncharacterized. NCBI's taxonomy places the organism in Eukaryota, Metazoa, Chordata, Mammalia, Artiodactyla, Bovidae. The record is from RefSeq and is a predicted model, not a curated record. The transcript is spliced from 5 exons.
AGUUUCUGCUGUUCCGGACGGCUUGGGGGGCUCUCUGUAUCGUUAGAGGGCCCCCAGCAGCCCCCAGGUGUAAGAAGUUGCAUGAGUUGUGAGUCUGUCGUUGCAUCUUGAUUCCCAGGCCAGGGAUUGAACCUGCGCCCCCUACAGUGGAAGCAUGGAGUCUUAACCACUGGCCCACCAGGGAAGUCCCAGUUAAACAUUUUUUAGUUAUAGAAGGUCUCAUGAAAUGUUCAACCCCCUCAAAGGCCUGAACUUCUUGAGAGCUGAAACUGAACACCUUCUCAACUGAACUUAAAGGAGAAAUUAAGUGCAAUAUUUGGAACUACAUUUAAAUGAAGAUGAGGUAGAAGACAG